ACUAACAAGGAUUCCCCUAGUAACGGCGAGUGAAGCGGGAAGAGCUCAAAUUUGAAAUCUGGCAGUCUUCGAUUGUCCGAGUUGUAAUCUAUAGAGGCGUUUUCCGUGCCGGACCGUGUCCAAGUCUCCUGGAAAGGAGUAUCAAAGAGGGUGAUAAUCCCGUACUUAACACGACCACCGGUGCUCUGUGAUACGUCUUCUACGAGUCGAGUUGUUUGGGAAUGCAGCUCAAAAUGGGUGGUGAAUUCCAUCUAAAGCUAAAUAUUGGCGAGAGACCGAUAGCGAACAAGUACCGUGAGGGAAAGAUGAAAAGCACUUUGGAAAGAGAGUUAAACAGUACGUGAAAUUGUUGAAAGGGAAACGAUUGAAGUCAGUCGUGUUCUUUGGAUUCAGCCAGUUCUGCUGGUCUACUUCCUUGGAACGGGUCAACAUCAGUUUUGUCCGGUGGAUAAAGGUAGUAGGAAUGUGACUUCUCCGGAAGUGUUAUAGCCUAUUAUCACAUACACUGGGUGAGACUGAGGACUGCAGCUCGCCUUUAUGGCCGGCCUUCGGGCACGUUCGAGCUUAGGAUGUUGACAUAAUGGCUUUAAAC
This 592-nucleotide ribosomal RNA is filed under the name Trichosporon asahii. Its description in RNAcentral is "partial large subunit ribosomal RNA". It matches the Rfam family "Eukaryotic large subunit ribosomal RNA", at positions 64 to 645 of the family's 3401-position model. Lineage: Eukaryota; Fungi; Basidiomycota; Tremellomycetes; Trichosporonales; Trichosporonaceae. The record is from RNAcentral.